AGAAUCAACGCUGGCGGCGUGCCUAACACAUGCAAGUCGAACGAGAAAGUGGAGCAAUCCAUUAGUAAAGUGGCGCACGGGUGAGUAACACGUGACUAACCUACCCUUGAGUGGGGGGAUAACCUAGAGAAAUCUGGGCUAAUACCGCAUAAUACCUUCGGGUCAAAGGAGCAAUUCGCUUAAGGAGGGGGUCGCGGCCGAUUAGUUAGUUGGCGGGGUAAUGGCCCACCAAGACUAUGAUCGGUAUCCGGCCUGAGAGGGCGCACGGACACACUGGAACUGAAACACGGUCCAGACUCCUACGGGAGGCAGCAGUGGGGAAUUUGCGCAAUGGGGGAAACCCUGACGCAGCAACGCCGCGUGGAGGAUGAAGCCCCUUGGGGCGUAAACUCCUUUCGAUCGGGACGAUAAUGACGGUACCGAGAGAAGAACGCCCGGCUAACUUCGCGCCAGCAGCCGC
RNAcentral lists this ribosomal RNA (460 nucleotides) under uncultured bacterium. RNAcentral describes it as "SSU rRNA". It matches the Rfam family "Bacterial small subunit ribosomal RNA", at positions 26 to 518 of the family's 1533-position model. The record is from RNAcentral.